GAGCAUUUUGGUCAGUUCUUGGUUUAAAACACAGUGAUAUUUGACUCUUAUACUGGAACAAAACAUGGCUCAAGUCUUGAUUUCAUUAACAUUUAUUUACUAUCUUGUAUGUUUUGUUUGUAAUAAGUUUUCACAAAUGGACUGACUGUCUGCAUUAACUGACUUUAUUUCUGCUUUCAUUGUUUUCAUUCUACAUUUAUCAAAUUCUAAGUGUGUCUUUAAAAAAAAAAACAAAUAAAAAAUUACACCCUUUCUGCUUUUAGUAAAUAAUACACUUAAAGACAUGAUAACUAUUGCCAAUGAAAAUUAUUUGGCCACUUUUUUUAAGUAUCUUC
This is a long non-coding RNA of Thalassophryne amazonica, 335 nucleotides long. RefSeq lists it as uncharacterized. The transcript has 3 exons. Lineage: Eukaryota; Metazoa; Chordata; Actinopteri; Batrachoidiformes; Batrachoididae. The record is from RefSeq and is a predicted model, not a curated record.